UACGUAGGGUGCAAGCGUUAAUCGGAAUUACUGGGCGUAAAGCGUGCGCAGGCGGUUGUGUAAGACAGAUGUGAAAUCCCCGGGCUCAACCUGGGAACUGCAUUUGGGACUGCAAGGCUAGAGUACGGCAGAGGGGGGUAGAAUUCCUGGUGUAGCAGUGAAAUGCGUAGAUAUCAGGAGGAAUACCGAUGGCGAAGGCAGCCCCCUGGGUCGAUACUGACGCUCAUGCACGAAAGCGUGGGGAGCAAACAGG
This 253-nucleotide ribosomal RNA is filed under the name uncultured bacterium. RNAcentral describes it as "partial 16S ribosomal RNA". It matches the Rfam family "Bacterial small subunit ribosomal RNA", at positions 524 to 776 of the family's 1533-position model. The record is from RNAcentral.